UUCCGGUUGAUCCUGCCGGACCCCACUGCUAUCGGGAUAGGACUAAGACAUGCUAGUCAAGCGUGCCAGUGCGGCGCACAGCUCAGUAGCACGUGGCUAACCUGCCCUUGGGACGGGGACACCCCCGGGAAACUGGGGUUAAUCCCCGAUAGGCGAAGAACUCUGGAAUGAGUCUCCACCCAAAGCUCGUACGCCCAAGGAUGGGGCCGCGACCGAUCAGGUUGUUGGUGGGGUAAUGGCUCACCAAGCCUAUAACCGGUACGGGCCGUGAGAGGGGAAGCCCGGAGAUGGGAACUGAGACAAGGUCCCAGGCCCUAAGGGGCGCAGCAGGCGCGAAACCUCCGCAAUGCGCGAAAGCGUGACGGGGUUACCCCGAGUGCCGUCCGAUGAGGAUGGCUUUUCAUCGGUGUACGUAUCCGGUGGAAUAAAGGGGGGGCAAGACUGGUGUCAGCCGCCGCGGUAAUACCAGCCCCCUGAGUGGUAAGGACGAUUAUUUGGCCUAAAGCGUCCGUAGCCGGCUUAGCAAGUCUUUUGUUAAAUCCAACGAUUCAAUCGUUAGGCCGCGGAAGAUACUGCUUGGCUUGAGGGCGGGAGAGGUCGACGGUAUUCCCGGGGUAGGGGUGAAAUCCAAUAAUCCCGGGAGGACCACCAGUGGCGAAGGCGAUCGACCAGAACGCGCCUGACGGUGAUGGACGAAAGCUGGGGUAGCGAACCGGAUUAGACACCCGGGUAGUCCCAGCUGUAAACGAUGCGAGCUAGGUGUUGGGGUAGCUACGAGCUACUCCAGUGCCGCAGAGAAGUCGUUAAGCUCGCCGCUUGGGGAGUACGGCCGCAAGGUUGAAACUUAAAGGAAUUGGCGGGGGAGCACCACAAGGGGUGAAGCCUGCGGUUUAAUUGGAGUCAACGCCGGA
RNAcentral lists this ribosomal RNA (911 nucleotides) under uncultured archaeon. RNAcentral's name for it is "bacterial SSU rRNA". It matches the Rfam family "Archaeal small subunit ribosomal RNA", at positions 1 to 922 of the family's 1478-position model. The record is from RNAcentral.